AUACGGAGGAUCCGAGCGUUAUCCGGAUUUAUUGGGUUUAAAGGGUGCGCAGGCGGCCAUUUAAGUCAGCGGUUAAAUCGUGGGGCUCAACCCCAUUCUGCCGUUGAUACUGGGUGGCUUGAUUGCGGUCGAGGUUGGCGGAAUUCGUUGUGUAGCGGUGAAAUGCAUAGAUACGACGAAGAACACCGAUUGCGUAGGCAGCUGACCAGACCGCAAAUGACGCUCAUGCACGAAAGUGCGGGGAUCGAACAGGAUUAGAUACCCUGGUAGUCCGCACAGUAAACGAUGAAUACUUGUUUUCGGCGAUAUAAUGUCGGAGGCAAAGCGAAAGCGAUAAGUAUUCCACCUGGGGAGUACGCCGGCAACGGUGAAACUCAAAGGAAUUGGCGGGG
RNAcentral lists this ribosomal RNA (392 nucleotides) under uncultured bacterium. Its description in RNAcentral is "partial 16S ribosomal RNA". It matches the Rfam family "Bacterial small subunit ribosomal RNA", at positions 523 to 918 of the family's 1533-position model. The record is from RNAcentral.